RNAcentral lists this long non-coding RNA (1962 nucleotides) under Medicago truncatula (barrel medic). RNAcentral describes it as "long non-coding RNA (MTRU_LNC005251)". Lineage: Eukaryota; Viridiplantae; Streptophyta; Magnoliopsida; Fabales; Fabaceae. The record is from RNAcentral.
UGCUUGGUGGAUAUCGGGAGCUUUCUCCGAUAUCGGUGUUUAGAGUUUAGUCGGCUUUGAUCUAGGCUUCGUUGUGUCGGUCUAGAUUAUCUUUUACUUUGGAUUUUGUUAUGAUUGGAGACUUACCCGUAUGUUGGGAUUUUUUGAGAUUCAUCUAUGUUGAUGUAAUAAUUGAUUCAUGACAUGUAUAUGUUGAGUACUCUGGUUUAUAUUCCGCUGCGAUUGUUGAAGUUUAUAUACAUGUUUAUUGGUUUUGAAUUUUUGUAUGAUGGCGUAGCCUCUAUUUCUUGAAUAAAUGUAUUAUUCGCAUGUUUAAUUGCUUUAAUAGAAAUAGGAGUGUUACAAUAUCCAAUGGGGAUGAGAAAUUGAAUCUCAUCCCCGUCUCCAAUGGGUUCGGGUAAUCCCGCCUCAUCCCCUUCCCCGCAGUGAAUCAAUUUUUUUUUAAUAGAAUAUAAUAUAGCUAUAAAUAGUACAAAAUUCAUGGUGACAUCAUUAGAGACAUCCAUUGCAUGAAUAGAGGCGACUAAUUCAUUUUUGGGAAGUUGUGUUGAACUGGAUGGAAUAUUAGUAGACUAAUUACUUAGACACCCACUCUUACUCUUUCCGGUUGGACAUGAUAACUUGGAUUGUGAAACUGGUGCAUCUGAAUGCAAAAAUUUUAAAUUAUCAAAGAAAGACGGUGAUCACUUGAUUGACCGUUCAAAAUGAUCAUCUUGAGUAGAUUAUCCCUCUUUAGUGAACCUUUGUAUAUAUUUUUUUUGGAGUUGGACACAUUGAGUUUUUUUUUGGGAAAGCAAAUUGACGAAAUUGCAUUUGCAUAUGUACCUUCAUAUUGUAAUCAUAAACGUUAAAUUGGACAUGCAGAGUAUAAUCAUGUGUUAAAAUUCAUAAAAAAAAAAACCAGAAUUUGGUUAUUUCAAAUUUGAGUAAACCACCAAAUUGGUUCAUGUCUUUGUACCAAAUUUUCAAAUUGACCUCUAACUCUAUUAAUAACUCAAAAUGGUCACUUUCUUUGUCAAACGUUUCUCAAAUUGGUCCCUGCCUCUAUUAGUUGUUUUGCAUUUUAAGCCAUUAACGUACCAAAUAAGAUCCAAAAGGCAUUAUUCCAUAAACCAGUAAAUAAUAUCCAAAACACGUUGAAUCGAUAACACUCAAAAUACAAAACAAUUAAUAAAGGCAGAGACCAAUCUAAGAAACAUUUGACAAAGACAGAGACCAUUUUGAAUUAUUAAUAGAGUCAGGGACCAAAUUGAAAAUUUGGUACAAAGACAGUGACCAAUUUGAUGGUUUACUCAUUUCAAAUUCUAUAAUCUGAAAAACCGCAUAACAAAAACAUAUGAGAAACGAAGUCUUCACUUAUUGGACUUCAUUUGGACAUCUUUAAUUUUAGAUAUGAUUUAAAUACCACAUCAAAUCUAAGUUGAUUUGACAAUAAAUCUCAGCACUGCGAUAAACUAAAGAAAGAAAACAAAACUACAUAUGAAAAAUUUCUAAUUAGUAACGACAACAUACAUCUUAAUAAAUUCAAAAAAUAAAAAUAAAUAAACUAUAUCAAAUAAAUCUCAAAAUUGACCAAUGAGUAAAGACAAUUAAAAUAAGUAAAGACAAAAACAAUAAAAAAAAAUACACAUAUGAGGGAUAAUUAUCAAGAUUUUCAAUUAAUACAUAAAGAUAUUAUCAUCUUAUAUUAUUCCUAAAACAAAUUUUAUUACCAUUAUACACUUAUAUUUACUAUUUUGUGAUUUUCGUUGUAUUUCUUUACCAUAUUACAGAUGCAGAGUAUCCAUUGGUAAUGAAUAACUAAUCUCAACACGAAAAUCUUAUUGGUCAUCUUUAAUAGAGUCUCCCUUUCUCAUAUGUAACCCUGAAAUUUGAACAUGCUACUUUAUUUCAGACAUGUGAGUCUAGUUACAGCCAUACCAACAUAUAUAAUGUUGGGUGUCCUCUCCCUAUUACGAAAGU